Molecule: ribosomal RNA, 689 nt
Filed under: uncultured beta proteobacterium
Lineage: Bacteria; Pseudomonadati; Pseudomonadota; Betaproteobacteria
Description: bacterial SSU rRNA
Rfam family: Bacterial small subunit ribosomal RNA
Source: RNAcentral
AACGGUAACAGGUCUUCGGACGCUGACGAGUGGCGAACGGGUGAGGAGAGACAUCGGAACGUGCCCAGUCGUGGGGGAUAACUACUCGAAAGAGUAGCUAAUACCGCAUACGAUCUGAGGAUGAAAGCGGGGGACCUUCGGGCCUCGCGCGAUUGGAGCGGCCGAUGGCAGAUUAGGUAGUUGGUGGGAUAAAAGCUUACCAAGCCGACGAUCUGUAGCUGGUCUGAGAGGACGACCAGCCACACUGGGACUGAGACACGGCCCAGACUCCUACGGGAGGCAGCAGUGGGGAAUUUUGGACAAUGGGCGAAAGCCUGAUCCAGCAAUGCCGCGUGCAGGAUGAAGGCCUUCGGGUUGUAAACUGCUUUUGUACGGAACGAAAAAGCUUCUCCUAAUACGAGAGGCCCAUGACGGUACCGUAAGAAUAAGCACCGGCUAACUACGUGCCAGCAGCCGCGGUAAUACGUAGGGUGCGAGCGUUAAUCGGAAUUACUGGGCGUAAAGCGUGCGCAGGCGGUUAUGUAAGACAGAUGUGAAAUCCCCGGGCUCAACCUGGGAACUGCAUUUGUGACUGCAUGGCUAGAGUACGGUAGAGGGGGAUGGAAUUCCGCGUGUAGCAGUGAAAUGCGUAGAUAUGCGGAGGAACACCGAUGGCGAAGGCAAUCCCCUUGGACUGUACUGACGCUCAU